GAUGAACGCUGGCGGCGUGCCUAAUACAUGCAAGUCGAGCGAACAGACGAGGAGCUUGCUCCUCUGACGUUAGCGGCGGACGGGUGAGUAACACGUGGAUAACCUACCUAUAAGACUGGGAUAACUUCGGGAAACCGGAGCUAAUACCGGAUAAUAUAUUGAACCGCAUGGUCCAAUAGUGAAAGACGGUUUUGCUGUCACUUAUAGAUGGAUCCGCGCCGCAUUAGCUAGUUGGUAAGGUAACGGCUUACCAAGGCGACGAUGCGUAGCCGACCUGAGAGGGUGAUCGGCCACACUGGAACUGAGACACGGUCCAGACUCCUACGGGAGGCAGCAGUAGGGAAUCGUCCGCAAUGGGCGAAAGCCUGACGGAGCAACGCCGCGUGAGUGAUGAAGGUCUUCGGAUCGUAAAACUCUGUUAUUAGGGAAGAACAAAUGUGUAAGUAACUAUGCACGUCUUGACGGUACCUAAUCAGAAAGCCACGGCUAACUACGUG
This 497-nucleotide ribosomal RNA is filed under the name uncultured bacterium. Its description in RNAcentral is "partial 16S ribosomal RNA". It matches the Rfam family "Bacterial small subunit ribosomal RNA", at positions 28 to 507 of the family's 1533-position model. The record is from RNAcentral.